ACCCUCCGGUUACCUUUCCCAUUGGAUCUGAAUGCUGGUCUUAGUGGAAGGGGGCAUAUGUUUGGGGAAAGGAGGAAAAGGAACACCGAAGCUGGCCUCACAGUGCUUAUAGUCUGGCAUAUAGCUUAUGGCCUAAUUUCAAACAAGG
Molecule: small nucleolar RNA, 148 nt
Organism: Zalophus californianus (California sea lion)
Lineage: Eukaryota; Metazoa; Chordata; Mammalia; Carnivora; Otariidae
Product: small nucleolar RNA SNORA61
Source: Ensembl